AACCUAGUGGCGGACGGGUGAGUAACACGUGAGCAACCUGCCUAUCAGAGGGGGAUAACGAUUGGAAACGAUCGCUAAUACCGCAUGACAUAGCGAAACCGCAUGGUUUUGCUAUCAAAGAUUUAUCGCUGAUAGAUGGGCUCGCGUCCGAUUAGAUAGUUGGUGAGGUAACGGCUCACCAAGUCGACGAUCGGUAGCCGGACUGAGAGGUCGAACGGCCACAUUGGGACUGAGACACGGCCCAGACUCC
This 250-nucleotide ribosomal RNA is filed under the name uncultured Oscillospiraceae bacterium. Its description in RNAcentral is "partial 16S ribosomal RNA". It matches the Rfam family "Bacterial small subunit ribosomal RNA", at positions 89 to 339 of the family's 1533-position model. Lineage: Bacteria; Bacillati; Bacillota; Clostridia; Eubacteriales; Oscillospiraceae. The record is from RNAcentral.